This 447-nucleotide ribosomal RNA is filed under the name uncultured bacterium. Its description in RNAcentral is "bacterial SSU rRNA". It matches the Rfam family "Bacterial small subunit ribosomal RNA", at positions 355 to 825 of the family's 1533-position model. The record is from RNAcentral.
UGGGGAAUCUUGGACAAUGGGCGCAAGCCUGAUCCAGCCAUGCCGCGUGAGUGACGAAGGUCUUCGGAUUGUAAAGCUCUUUUGGCGGGGACGAUAAUGACGGUACCCGCAGAAUAAGCCCCGGCUAACUUCGUGCCAGCAGCCGCGGUAAUACGAAGGGGGCUAGCGUUGUUCGGAAUUACUGGGCGUAAAGCGCACGUAGGCGGAUCUAUAAGUCAGGGGUGAAAUCCCGGGGCUCAACCUCGGAACUGCCUUUGAUACUGUAGAUCUCGAGUCCGGAAGAGGUGAGUGGAAUUCCUAGUGUAGAGGUGAAAUUCGUAGAUAUCAAGAGGAACACCUGAGGUGAAGACGGGUUGCUGGGCUGACACUGACGCUGAGGCGCGAAAGCCAGGGGAGCAAACGGGAUUAGAUACCCCCGUAGUCCCUGAGCGGGCUGGCAAGGCGCAU